Molecule: ribosomal RNA, 484 nt
Filed under: uncultured bacterium
Lineage: Bacteria
Description: partial 16S ribosomal RNA
Rfam family: Bacterial small subunit ribosomal RNA
Source: RNAcentral
AUUGAACGCUGGCGGCAGGCCUAACACAUGCAAGUCGAGCGGAUGAAGGGAGCUUGCUCCUGGAUUCAGCGGCGGACGGGUGAGUAAUGCCUAGGAAUCUGCCUGGUAGUGGGGGAUAACGUCCGGAAACGGGCGCUACUACCGCAUACGUCCUGCGGGAGCAAGUGGGGGAUCUUCGGACCUCACGCUAUCAGAUGAGCCUAGGUCGGAUUAGUUAGUUGGUGGGGUAAAGGCCUACCAAGGCGACGAUCCGUAACUGGUCUGAGUGGAUGAUCAGUCACACUGGAACGGGGACAGGGUCCAGAGUCCUACGGGAGGCAGCAGUGUGGAAUGUUGGACAGUGGGCGAAAACCUGAUCCAGCCAGGCCGCGUGUGUGAAGAAGGUCUUCGGAUUGUAAAGCACUUUAAGUUGGGAGGAAGGGCAGUAAGUUAAUACCUUGCUGUUUUGACGUUACCAACAGAAUAAGCACCGGCUAACUUCGUG